RNAcentral lists this ribosomal RNA (564 nucleotides) under marine metagenome. RNAcentral describes it as "bacterial SSU rRNA". It matches the Rfam family "Archaeal small subunit ribosomal RNA", at positions 828 to 1392 of the family's 1478-position model. The record is from RNAcentral.
CUGGGGAGUACGGUCGCAAGGCUGAAACUUAAAGGAAUUGGCGGGGGAGCACAGCAACGAGAGGAGCGUGCGGUUUAAUUGGAUUCAACGCCGGAAAACUCACCAGAGCCGACGGACAUAUGAAGAUCAGCGUGAUGAGCUUAUUGGAUUGUUCGAGAGGUAGUGCAUGGCCGUCGUCAGUUCGUACCGUAAGGCGUUCUGUUAAGUCAGAUAACGAACGAGACCCCUAUCGUCUAUUUGCUAAAUGGAUCUCCGGAUUCAUUGCACUAUAGCGAGACCGCUGGCGUGAAGUCAGAGGAAGGUGGGGGCAACGACAGGUCAGUAUGCUCCGAAUGCUCUGGGCUACACGCGCGCUACAAAGGCCAGGACAAUGGGUCUGCCACUUCGAGAGAAGGCGCUAUCCCGAAACCUGGUCGUAGUUCGGAUCGUGGGCUGUAAUUCGCCCACGUGAAGCUGGAUUUCGUAGUAAUCGCGUCUCAAAAUGGCGCGGUGAAUAUGCCCCUGCUCCUUGCACACACCGCCCGUCAAACCAUCUUAGUUUGGGGUGGGUGAGGCUGCCUUUAA